CAUGGAUCUCUCUUCUUAUCUCUCCCUCACUCGAGAAGGAAAAUAUUGCUAAAGAAUUUGUUAGUUUCAAGUAAUUUCCUUUUAUUUUCCUGAUAUCUUCUCGGAUAUUUCCUUAAAUUCAUAUAUAGAUUUGCCUCCCUUUAAAUAUCCAGUAAGUUGUAUUAUAUACAGAUCCAAACCAUUUUAUUUAUUUAUUUAUCUUUGAUCAUAAAAAUUUGGUUGCAGGGUUUGCCUUUUUGUUCUUUAGUUGCUUUCUAACUCCAUCUAUGCAUGUAAUAUAUGUACUACAAGUAUGGAGGUACUCUAAAAUGCACUUGUGAUGCAAGUUUGUUUGUCUUUGUCCAUGGAUCUUGGUUUGUAGUGGGCCUAACUAAAGUCUUUUACUCUUUUUCCCUACUAGAUCAACUUUGUGCUUCCCUGCUUGGAUCUAAUCUGUUCAGGAUAUAUAUAUAUAUCUUCUCGGAUAUUUCCUUAAAUUCAUAUAUAGUUUUGCCUCCCUUUAAAUACCCACUAAAUUGUAUUAUAUAUAGAUCCAAACCAUUUUAUUUAUUUAUUUAUCUUUGAUCAUAAAAAUUUGGUUCCAGGGUUUGCCUUUUUGUUCUUUAGUUGUGUUCUAACUCCAUCUAUGCAUGGAGGUACUCUAAAAUGCACUUGUGAUGCAAGUUUGUUUGUCUUUGUCCAUGGAUCUUGGUUUGUAGGGGGCCUAACUAAAGUCUUUUACUCUUUUUCCCUACUUGAUCAACUUUGUGAUUCCCUGCUUAUAUAUAUAUAUAUUUGCAAGGUUUUGUAUAGCUUUAAGCUCAGAUCCGCCUGUACAUGCUCCUCUCCCACCCACACGAUAUACUAAUGGCUUCAUUAUCAAGGUAAUGAGCUGACAAAAGAGAUAAGGAAUUAGCAGCAUCUUUCCUUUUCUUUCUUUCUUGUGUGAUAGUGGGGAGCAUUUUCUUCACAGCAGUCUAAAGAAAGCUGUGGUUAUCAAUUUGAAUGAAAAUGCUGCUCUGCAAGUUGGUCAAAGGCAAAUCUAGCUCAAUUCCACUGCCAACAACUCAGGCCUCAAUGAUGCCAUUUCCUGAAAUACAGUACCCUCAGCCCGCUUCACCUGUAAAACUAUUGGGUCAUGCUGGAUGGUUGCUGCUACUGAGACAACAAGUGUAUAGCAAGGUUUUUUUGCAGUCAGAUGUUUUUUUUGAACAGUAAGCUGCAGUUUGAGAUGCUGUUGGUUGCUUGGUUUGCUGUGUGAUGGUUUGGCUGAUGUAGUUUGUUACUUUGCUGGUUGUAAUCUGUAUAGUUGUAGUAGUGUUCAAGAAGCUUGUUGUUUUCCUGGAAUUUUUGGCUAAAUAGCUAGAGUGCAUUGUAUUCAUUAACUUUUUUAAAUGAAAGAGUUACUCAUUAAUAAA
Molecule: non-coding RNA, 1397 nt
Organism: Corylus avellana
Lineage: Eukaryota; Viridiplantae; Streptophyta; Magnoliopsida; Fagales; Betulaceae
Source: RefSeq, a predicted model, not a curated record